GCACAAGCAGUGGAGUAUGUGGUUUAAUUCGACGCAACGCGAAGAACCUUACCAAGUCUUGACAUCCCUUGACGAUGCUGGAAACAGUAUUUCUCUUCGGAGCAAGGAGACAGGUGGUGCAUGGUUGUCGUCAGCUCGUGUCGUGAGAUGUUGGGUUAAGUCCCGCAACGAGCGCAACCCUUAUGGUCAGUUACUACGCAAGAGGACUCUGGCCAGACUGCCGUUGACAAAA
RNAcentral lists this ribosomal RNA (232 nucleotides) under uncultured bacterium. RNAcentral describes it as "partial 16S ribosomal RNA". It matches the Rfam family "Bacterial small subunit ribosomal RNA", at positions 923 to 1163 of the family's 1533-position model. The record is from RNAcentral.